Molecule: long non-coding RNA, 1086 nt
Organism: Chelonia mydas (Green sea turtle)
Lineage: Eukaryota; Metazoa; Chordata; Testudines; Cheloniidae
Exons: 4
Source: RefSeq, a predicted model, not a curated record
CAGCUUGGAUGGGUCAUUCAUUCCAUGUGUUAGGUGAGAAAAAUUAAAUGACGCAGUUAUGCCAACCGAACCAAAGUCAGCCCAAUAAAGGUUGCUGGGAAAGUCCCUGAACGAGAUAAGUAGAAUGAAAGAAUACUUGUUUAAGUUGCAGGGAGUAAGAAAAAAGGGGAAGCCUGCAUUUUUGUACCAAGUGUUCUGGGAACAGUUUGUUGAGAUAGGAGGCACUGUUUUCCACUCCCUGUUCUUGUGUUAUGUCUGUUUUUAACUCCUCGUCUCCUGGUUGACACCCAUACCGAUAAAGUUAAUGAAGCAUUGCGAUUUGCUAAAAGUUAUCUACAAUAAGGGGGUAGAAGCACAUGCAUAAUAGAGAGAGGAUUUUAACUAACAUGGGAGGGGGGGCAUGGGCUGCUUUAUGAAUAAAUCUGUGAUGCGACGGAACGGUCUAUAAAAACCUAUUAGUUUUACUUAGAGGCUGCUGGUUCUCUUUGGAGACAGGCUGCUCUCUAUUGUUGUGUGCACUCUUCAAUAAAGAGCUUUGUGUUCGGACCUUGCUGGUGUUGCCUGUCUCUCUCCGGUCAGACAACGAACUGUGCCGUCUGGGGUUCGAGUCCUCAACACAUGUUUCAAAGUCUUCUACACCAGAAGUGAGCACAGAAAGUAGGAGGAUGCAAUCUUUAUUUGUAAGCAUUAGUUAUGCUUUUUCUCUCUGAGGUAACAAGAUGUAGAAAAAUUAUGGAUAAUGAAAAUUGCUUAUCUGUAUUUGAUAGGUUGUUUGCUCUGAUUUCCGCCCCGCCACUGUGUCUCUUUCUCUUUUCUUUUCUUUUCUUUUUUUUUAAAUAAUUUUUCCAUGUUCUAUAGCAGGGGCGGGCAAACUUUUUGGCCUGAGGGCCACAUCAGGUUUCCAAAAUUGUAUGGAGGGCCAGUUAGGGGAGGCUGUGUCUCCCCAAACAGCCAGGCAUGGCCCAGCCUCUGCCUUCUAUCCAACCCCGCCUGCUUCUUGCCGCCGACAGCUCCCCUGGGACUCCUACCCCAUCCACUGCCCCAUCCAACGCCCCCUCUCAUUCCUGACUUGCCCCCCAGGACCCC